Molecule: unclassified non-coding RNA, 1950 nt
Filed under: Zea mays
Lineage: Eukaryota; Viridiplantae; Streptophyta; Magnoliopsida; Poales; Poaceae
Description: misc RNA Zm00001eb380270
Source: RNAcentral
CCAGCAACCGCCAUGCCCCUCGGUCUUCCCCUCCGUCCUCUGCGCAACCGCCAUGGUCUUCCCCUCCGCGCAACCACAGCAACCGCCAUGCCCCUACCUCGCACCAUCCGCCAUGCCUUCGCCUCGCAGGAUCCGCCAUGCCAGCGUCUCGGCUUCUCCUCCGUUCAGCCGCCCGACCCGCCGCCUUCCCCUCCGCAAAACAGCCAUGUCCCCGCCUCGGCUAACCCUAUGCGCAGAUCCACAGCCGCCCGACCCGCCAGGACCUGCCUCUCCUUCCCCUCCGCGCUCAAACAACCAAGCCGAGCCGAGGAAAUGCGCCCACAAAUUUGGACGCUCCGCGCAGCCACACGAACUGCCAUGCAACCACCUCGCACGAUCCGUCAUGCCCCCGCCUCGCACGAUCCGCCGUGCCAGCGCCUCGGCUUCCCCUUCGUGCAACCGCCCGACCCGCCAGGACCCUGUCUCUCCUUCCCCUCCGCGCUCGGCUUGGCCCACAAAUUUGGAAAUGCACCCACAAAUUUGGAAGCCACGGCAAUGGCGCCCGAUUUGGCUAUGGCGUCGCUGAUUUGGAAAUCGCACAAUCUACGUCGCCGAUUUGGAAAGCACGAUCUCGGUACCGCAAUCACAACAACUAUCCCCCAAAUGUCGCGCCCACCCACGUCCAGCUGACUUAGGAGGGUCCAAGCAGGAGCCUACUCCUCAUUUGCCCCUGUUCAGAGAUUUCCUUAUGUGAAAACGAAGAACCAACAUAAACGAAUCUAAUGGAGCAUAAUGCUGAUCGCACACCAUUAAUAGACAUCUCAAACACAAGCGUUACAGGUGAUCAAAUAGGAUCAAACUCGCUUGGACCAAUAGACGAUGCUAAUGAACGUAAGAGGCAAAGGGAUAGAGAAAGAUAUGCCACGAUGUCCAUUGAACAAAAGAAUGAGAAAAAUAGGAAGCGCCGUGAAGCACGUCAACGAAACAAAGGACUACCCCUAAAGUCUGAGUCAUCUAGAGGUCCUAUUAAAAACACUCCAUUGGCUGGUAAUUCUAUCGAACGAAAGAGGCAAAGGGAUAGAGAAAGGCGUGCAACAAUGUCGGUUGAACAAAGGAAUGAGUACAAUAACAAGCGUCGUCAAAUGCGUCAACGAAAUAAGGGACAAAAUGUGAUGCCCGAUGUUUCAGGAGAUGGCGACAAAAAAGAAAAUGUGGAUCCAGAUGAUGAUAGCGACUGGCUGCAUCGGAACGAGACAUUCCAGUCAAACGACUAUGUCGCAACGACAGACCUUCUGCCACCAGGCAGUGUGCAUGAAUCUGUUGGUGUCAUUGGGGAACCGAGUAUCGGCGUUAGGGAGUAUAGGCUUGAACGCCUUAGGUUGUAUAAUCAGACACCAAAGCGAAAAGAGGCAAAGAUAGAGUACAUGAGAAAACGUAGAGUGCUACAGGCUGACACUCUGAAUGUUGCGUCCAUCGCCAUGGAGGACCCAACAUAUACCCCUGAGGUUGUGCACCCUGCAACGGAACCUUCAACAGUUACCACCUGCGACUGGGUUAUCCCUGAAUUCAUUAGGACACCUUUCCUACCAGCUCAAACACAGACCGAGGAUGUCGGUUCAUUCGAUAUGUCUACUGAAGCAAUAAGACAUAAACAUCAUGUGCCGCGUGGGGAAAGACAAGCUAUCUUAGCCCGUCGAAACAAACAAUUUCAAGCAUCCAUUGCAAGGAACGUGACUACUUUGAAUGGGGAUACUAUCGGUGACGCCAACAACAAUGCACAAUGUAGCGUUCCAUGCCAAGCCGCUACCUUGCCAACAAAUGGAAGUGAAGGCAUAACCGAACAAGGAAAUGAGGUGGAGCAUACACAAGAGAAGCCAACGGUCAUUUCCAAUGAUGAUGAUGAUGAUGAUGAGGCUGUCAUAUUCGAAGAAGAUGAUGACAACGACGAGGGAUACAUAUUCGCUGGCCAAU